RNAcentral lists this transfer RNA (91 nucleotides) under Bacillota bacterium. Its description in RNAcentral is "Firmicutes bacterium (anaerobic digester metagenome) tRNA-Leu". It matches the Rfam family "tRNA". From Rfam's summary of the family: Transfer RNA (tRNA) molecules are approximately 80 nucleotides in length. Their secondary structure includes four short double-helical elements and three loops (D, anti-codon, and T loops). Further hydrogen bonds mediate the characteristic L-shaped molecular structure. tRNAs have two regions of fundamental functional importance: the anti-codon, which is responsible for specific mRNA codon recognition, and the 3' end, to which the tRNAs corresponding amino acid is attached (by aminoacyl-tRNA synthetases). tRNAs cope with the degeneracy of the genetic code in two manners: having more than one tRNA (with a specific anti-codon) for a particular amino acid; and 'wobble' base-pairing, i.e. permitting non-standard base-pairing at the 3rd anti-codon position. Lineage: Bacteria; Bacillati; Bacillota. RNAcentral also lists the same sequence under 1 other name. The record is from RNAcentral.
GCCGGAGUGGCGGAACAGGCAGACGCAAGGGACUUAAAAUCCCUCGGUCCCUCCAUAGACCGUACCGGUUCGAUUCCGGUCUCCGGCACCA